GGCGUGUGGCCCCGGAUGUCAGGUUCUUCCCCCUUUUCGCGGUGAUGCCGUUGUAACCACCUGCGCGUAGAGCGGGCGUCGGACUCGGAGUCCACCUCAAACUGGGGAUAAAGCGACUCUCCUGCUACCUCGCGCUAGCGUCUCCAAGUCGCCAUCGUCGGGUGCGGAAACCUCCACAAUCCAUAUGUCCCCACCGAGACCCAUUAGUGCCAUGGGAGCUGCCGCCGUCGUUCGUCGCCAUUGUCGUCUCCUAACCUCCGUGGUGUGGACCCAGGCGUCCUAAACGGAGGGUAGAUCAUGCGCAAGGGCUUAACCGGGCGUGGUGACCUGUAGUGCGGCGGGGAUUUCUCGCCGUUGUUGUAAGCCAUCGUGGAUCCGCGCAUCUUCGUGGGCAGGGCACUACACUGCGAAAUUAACGACGAGCAAGCCACUGAGGACCCAGAUGUUCAGCAGGUGGAGACUGCUGAGGAGGAGCUCGUUGAAGGCAAGUUGUGCCCUUGAUCACUUCUAUUUACCCAAUAAUGUUCCUUUUAAUCAUUAUGAUCUGCAUAGGUUAAUUUUGAAGGGACCCAAUAGGUUACCCUAGUUUGACUAUCUUUAUACCUUGUUUACCACUGAACUUUUGGGUAGUACCUGCUAUUGCUUUAUGUGGUUUUGGGUAUGGAGAUACACAUUAUUCAUGAUCAGGCUUUUAUUAUCAAUUUAUUAUUUACUAUUCAUGAUAAGAUCGUAUUGUUAAUUGAAAGUCGCCUAGAGGGGGGUGAAUAGGUGAAACCUGAAAUUUAUAAACUUAAACUUGCACUAAGGCCGGGGUUAGCGUUAGAAUUAAAUCCGAGUGCGGAAAAUUGUUUCUCUUGCUAAGAGUUGCUCAAUAUAUGCAGAUGUCGUUUGGUAGCAAACUCAAAUCAAUACUAGCAAGGAAACGUUAGAGAGAGGAAAUAGGGAAAACAAAUCAAAUGGAAAUCAACACAAGUGAACAUGGUGAUUUGUUUUACCGAGGUUCAGUUCCAAAGAACCUAGUCCCCGUUGAGGAGGCCACAAAGGCCAGGUCUAUUUCAACCCUUUCCCUCUCUCAACGGUCACUUAGACCGGAUGAGCCUUUUCCUUAAUCACACAGGUCACUAAGACCCUACAAGGACCACCACACACUUAGGUGUCUCUUGCUUAGCUUUACAAAGCACUUAAGAAUUAGAAUAGGAAAGGAAGAAGGCAAUCCAAGCAACAAGAGCGCAAAUGAACACAAGUGAUCCUCUCUCAAGUCUCUAAGCACUAGAGUUGAUUUUGAAAACUUGGAGUGGAUUGAAUGCUUUGAAUGUGUCUUUGAGUGGUUGGCUUUGCUCUUGUAUUGAUUGGGAAGUUCAGAAUACUUGGAUGGCUUUGAAUGAGGUGGUUGGGGGGUAUUUAUAGCCUCCAACCACUUCCUAACCGUUGGUUGUUUUUGCUGGUGAUGGGCACACCGGACAGUCCGGUGGCGCACCGUACAGUCACUGUUCACUAUCCGGUGCACGCCACGUCAGCGCGCUCGUUGGGGGCUUGGAGCUGUUGACUGUUGGAACCCUUUGUCCUUUUGCUGCACCGGACAGUUCGGUGCCACACCGGACAUGUCCGGUGACCUCUGACUUCUGCGCGGCACUAUUCACUAUUGUCCCCUUUUUGCAGUCGACCGUUGACGCGCAGUGAUCGUUGCGUUGCUGGCUCACCGGACAUGUGCGGUGCACACCGGACAGUCUGGUGAAUUAUAGUGGAACGUGACUGGUGAAUUCCCGAGAGUGGCCUAUUCGUUGGGUGCCCGACCUGGUGCACCAGACAAUGUCCGGUGCGCCACUUGGCAACACACUCAUGUCUUGCUCCAAAUUUGAUUGUGUCACUAACUGAAUUUCUUUCUUGGUUUGUGUUGAACCUUAUGCACCUGAGGUAAAUGAUAUCUAGACAAACUAGUUAGUCCAUAUGAUUUGUGUUGGACGUCAACCACCAAAAUCGAUUAUACGAAAUGAUUAAGUCCAUUUUCCUUUCAUUAAUUGGAACAUGGAGAACCACCCAGGAAAACAGUGCUACCACAUGGGUGGUAUGGGACGCCCUUGGCUGACUAAUUAGAAAAGCUAGUGGAUGACUACCUUACCCGAAAGGGUCAAGGGCAGUAGGGGAGUGGUCGGUGUAGGGAGGUCCUUGGGUUGAUUUUGCUGCGAUGGCGGUCAAACGAGGGAUCCCUGCAUUAGGGCUUCCUAGAAACUGUAGCGGGUUUUCUGAAGCUAGUAGAACUUUGUAAAGGCCAUGUAGUGUUACCUUGCCUCGCUUCCUUGGUAGAGGUGUAUGGUAAGUUAUGAUCCCUUGGAAAAUGGGUAACAUGACUUGUGGGUAAAGAUGUGCAACCUCUGCAGAGUGUAAAACUGGUAUAUCAGCCGUGCUCACGGUCAUAAGCGGCUCGGACACUCACAUUAUUAAUUUAUGGAAUUAAAUUCAAUUUUUCAUUUGCAUCGCAUUGUGGUUUAUUAUUAAUUUGAUCUAUUAUUACUCUGGUUUGGGUAUUUACUUAUAUUUAGUAACUGCUAAUAAAACUUGACCACUUAUUAAAAGCAAUGCUCAGAUUUAACCAUUAUUUGUUGAUCAGCCUUACACUUUACAUGAGCUCCACCUUUGGUGAGUUCAUGCACAUUAUUCCCCACAACUUGUUGAGCUAUGAUCUUUUGUGAGCUCACUCUUGCGAUAUAUAACCCCCCCACAGGUGAAGAGCAGGUGGUCCAAGAGGAGCCCUAUAAUGAGGGGUACGAGUUAAUCUAGGUGGCGUCUCCCAGUUAGCUUGAUGGCGCAAAGGAAUAAUUAUUUAGUUCAUUUUAGUGUCAUCAUCUAUUUUUGUAAGACUUCCGCUAUGUAAUAAUGAUACUUGUGACAUUUAUCUCUAUACACUUUGUCAUUAUAUGUGA
Zea mays is the source of this 2921-nucleotide long non-coding RNA. RefSeq lists it as uncharacterized. Lineage: Eukaryota; Viridiplantae; Streptophyta; Magnoliopsida; Poales; Poaceae. The transcript has 2 exons. The record is from RefSeq and is a predicted model, not a curated record.